AAGAGUGGAAUCCCCACCCGAGGACUCUUGCGACGUGAAUACAAUUUAUAUACAACUUGAACAAAAAACAAGCAUGACAUUCACAUACAUGUACACCAAAAAAUAACACUUUAUUUAUAAGUAAAACGUAUCCACAUUUAGCAAAAUAUUAAAAGUUCAUAUGAUCAUAUACAAAGCUAUUACUUUUAAAGUAUUUUUUACUGAU
Molecule: long non-coding RNA, 205 nt
Filed under: Mytilus galloprovincialis (Mediterranean mussel)
Lineage: Eukaryota; Metazoa; Mollusca; Bivalvia; Mytilida; Mytilidae
Source: RNAcentral